This 73-nucleotide transfer RNA is filed under the name Camelus bactrianus (Bactrian camel). It matches the Rfam family "tRNA". Rfam says of the family: Transfer RNA (tRNA) molecules are approximately 80 nucleotides in length. Their secondary structure includes four short double-helical elements and three loops (D, anti-codon, and T loops). Lineage: Eukaryota; Metazoa; Chordata; Mammalia; Artiodactyla; Camelidae. The record is from Rfam by way of RNAcentral. RNAcentral also lists the same sequence under 1 other name.
GGGCAUAUAGCUCAAACGGUAGAGUGCGUGCUUAGCAUGCAUGAGCUCCCGGGUUCAAUCCCCAGUACCUCCU